GGGGAAUUUUCCGCAAUGGGCGCAAGCCUGACGGAGCAAUACCGCGUGGGGGAGAAAGGCCCUUGGGUUGUAAACCCCUUUUGUCAGGGAAGAACACAAUGACGGUACCUGACGNNUCAGCCUCGGCUAACUCCGUGCCAGCAGCCGCGGUAAGACGGAGGAGGCAAGCGUUAUCCGGAAUCAUUGGGCGUAAAGCGUCCGUAGGUGGCCCCUCAAGUCUGCUGUUAAAGCCCAGGGCUCAACCCUGGAGAAGCAGUGGAAACUGGAGGGCUAGAGUGCGGUAGGGGUAGAGGGAAUUCCCGGUGUAGCGGUGAAAUGCGUAGAGAUCGGGAAGAACACCAGUGGCGAAAGCGCUCUGCUGGACCGCAACUGACACUGAGGGACGAAAGCUAGGGGAGCGAAUGGGAUUAGAUACCCCAGUAGUC
RNAcentral lists this ribosomal RNA (425 nucleotides) under uncultured cyanobacterium. Its description in RNAcentral is "bacterial SSU rRNA". It matches the Rfam family "Bacterial small subunit ribosomal RNA", at positions 356 to 795 of the family's 1533-position model. Lineage: Bacteria; Bacillati; Cyanobacteriota. The record is from RNAcentral.